Molecule: ribosomal RNA, 984 nt
Filed under: Triticum aestivum (bread wheat)
Lineage: Eukaryota; Viridiplantae; Streptophyta; Magnoliopsida; Poales; Poaceae
Description: partial small subunit ribosomal RNA
Source: RNAcentral
AUGGCGGAGCACUUGGCUUCAAUUUUUGGCACGGAGAAGGAUAGGGUCAACUGCCCCUUUUACUUCAAGAUUGGAGCUUGCCGUCAUGGGGACCGUUGCUCCCGUCUGCACAACAGGCCAACCACAUCGCCAACUAUUGUGCUUGCUAACAUGUACCAGCGGCCUGAUAUGAUUACCCCUGGAGUUGAUGCCCAAGGUGUGGCUAUUGCACCAGAGAAGAUGCAGGAGCACUUUGAGGACUUCUAUGAGGAUAUCUAUGAGGAGCUGAGCAAGUUUGGUGAGGUUGAGACCCUGAAUGUGUGCGACAACCUUGCUGACCACAUGAUCGGGAAUGUCUAUGUCCAGUUCAGGGAGGAAGAGCAGGCAGUGGCUGCUCACAAUGCCCUCCAAGGCCGCUUCUACUCUGGUCGCCCGAUCAUUGUGGAGUACUCCCCUGUGACAGACUUCCGGGAGGCGACCUGCAGGCAGUUUGAGGAGAACAGCUGCAACCGUGGCGGCUACUGCAACUUCAUGCACGUGAAGCAGAUUGGUAGGGAGCUCAGGAGGAAGCUAUAUGGUGGGCGUUCCAGGAGGAGCCACGGGAGGAGCCGCAGCCCCAGCCCGCAGCACAGGAGGGACAACCGUGACCGUGGUGGUGACUUCCGCCGUGAUGGCCGGGAUGAAUACCGUGGUGGCGGUGGCGGUGGUGGCGGCGGUUACCGUGGAGGCGAUGGAGGUGAUGGUGGCGGUUACCGUGGUGGGGGCGGUGGUGGUGGCUACCGUGGAGGUGAUGGGGGUGGCUAUCGCGGUGGUGGUGGUGGCGGUUACCGUGGUGGCGGGAGGGGUGGAGGUGGUGGCAGGCAUGACAGGUACGAUGAUGGACCGAGGCGCAGGUACGGUGGCAGCCCACCGCGGCGCGGAAGGAGCCCUCCAGCAAGGGAGAACAGCGAGGAGCGCAGGGCCAAGAUUGAGCAGUGGAACCGUGAGCGGGAGGAGAAGAAGUGA